CCUUCCCUUAAAGAUCCAACCUCAAUUUCGCUGUUACAGUCAGAGUUUCUACACAAACUCUUGUCUCUCAUGAACUGAGGUAAGGCAUUUCUCACCAACA
Long non-coding RNA from Octopus sinensis (East Asian common octopus), 100 nucleotides. RefSeq lists it as uncharacterized. The record is from RefSeq and is a predicted model, not a curated record. NCBI's taxonomy places the organism in Eukaryota, Metazoa, Mollusca, Cephalopoda, Octopoda, Octopodidae. The transcript has 3 exons.